Molecule: long non-coding RNA, 250 nt
Filed under: Prunus persica (peach)
Lineage: Eukaryota; Viridiplantae; Streptophyta; Magnoliopsida; Rosales; Rosaceae
Description: long non-coding RNA (PPER_LNC008707)
Source: RNAcentral
GGGGAGAUAUUCAUCAGGGGGAGCAUGGUUUUAAUAAAGACCUUCAUACACUGUACUCUUUUUCCUUCAUCCAGGUUUUUAUCCCACUGGGUUUUUCCUGGUAAGGUUUUAACGAGGCAGUGUCGCUCAAAAUUGACUCACAGAAGCAGUGUCAACUACGAUAUUCAGAAAGGUGAUCAACAGCAUGACUUAAAGAUAUUUUACCAAGCAUCAGGGGGAGCGCGCUAUCAAUAAAGAUCUUCAAACACCG